GACGAACGCUGGCGGCGUGCUUAACACAUGCAAGUCGAACGGAAAGGCCCUGCUUUUGUGGGGUGCUCGAGUGGCGAACGGGUGAGUAACACGUGAGUAACCUGCCCUUGACUUUGGGAUAACUUCAGGAAACUGGGGCUAAUACCGGAUAGGAGCUCCUGCUGCAUGGUGGGGGUUGGAAAGUUUCGGCGGUUGGGGAUGGACUCGCGGCUUAUCAGCUUGUUGGUGGGGUAGUGGCUUACCAAGGCUUUGACGGGUAGCCGGCCUGAGAGGGUGACCGGCCACAUUGGGACUGAGAUACGGCCCAGACUCCUACGGGAGGCAGCAGUGGGGAAUAUUGCACAAUGGGCGGAAACCUGAUGCAGCAACGCCGCGUGCGGGAUGACGGCCUUCGGGUUGUAAACCGCUUUCGCCUGUGACGAAGCGUGAGUGACGGUAAUGGGUAAAGAAGCACCGGCUAACUACGUGCCAGCAGCCGCGGUGAUACGUAGGGUGCGAGCGUUGUCCGGAUUUAUUGGGCGUAAAGGGCUCGUAGGUGGUUGAUCGCGUCGGAAGUGUAAUCUUGGGGCUUAACCCUGAGCGUGCUUUCGAUACGGGUUGACUUGAGGAAGGUAGGGGAGAAUGGAAUUCCUGGUGGAGCGGUGGAAUGCGCAGAUAUCAGGAGGAACACCAGUGGCGAAGGCGGUUCUCUGGGCCUUUCCUGACGCUGAGGAGCGAAAGCGUGGGGAGCGAACAGGCUUAGAUACCCUGGUAGUCCACGCUGUAAACGGUGGGUACUAGGUGUGGGGUCCAUUCCACGGGUUCCGUGCCGUAGCUAACGCUUUAAGUACCCCGCCUGGGGAGUACGGCCGCAAGGCUAAAACUCAAAGGAAUUGACGGGGCCCCGCACAAGCGGCGGAGCAUGCGGAUUAAUUCGAUGCAACGCGUAGAACCUUACCUGGGUUUGACAUGGAUCGGGAGUGCUCAGAGAUGGGUGUGCCUCUUUUGGGGUCGGUUCACAGGUGGUGCAUGGCUGUCGUCAGCUCGUGUCGUGAGAUGUUGGGUUAAGUCCCGCAACGAGCGCAACCCUUGUUCACUGUUGCCAGCACGUUAUGGUGGGGACUCAGUGGAGACCGCCGGGGUCAACUCGGAGGAAGGUGGGGAUGACGUCAAGUCAUCAUGCCCCUUAUGUCCAGGGCUUCACGCAUGCUACAAUGGCUGGUACAGAGAGUGGCGAGCCUGUGAGGGUGAGCGAAUCUCGGAAAGCCGGUCUCAGUUCGGAUUGGGGUCUGCAACUCGACCUCAUGAAGUCGGAGUCGCUAGUAAUCGCAGAUCAGCAACGCUGCGGUGAAUACGUUCCCGGG
This 1343-nucleotide ribosomal RNA is filed under the name uncultured bacterium. RNAcentral describes it as "16S ribosomal RNA". It matches the Rfam family "Bacterial small subunit ribosomal RNA", at positions 28 to 1378 of the family's 1533-position model. The record is from RNAcentral.